CAAAAUUGAUGAAUUUUAUCCACCAAUUUUGUCAUAUGAAAUACAAUUUUAAAAAAAAAGAUUUUAUAUGAUGUAAAUAAUCAAACAUUUCAGUGCCAUUUCCCCAUCUUGCUUCAUGUUAAAAAAUAAAUUAAAAAUUCAAAUAAUCUCCAAAGUGUGCCUUCCCCUUUUUAUACAAAACAAUAACAGGCACAAAGUGAUGUAAUACAAUAAUGUGCCUGUCCAAAGCCAGGACAAUUAUAGUUUAGUGACUUUCAUUGUCUUCAUAUUUGUUUUUUCCUUUGAAGUUAAUAAAUAAAUCAAGCUGAUUGUUGCAGCAUGAAUUUUUCACAUUUCUAGAUUGGUUUUGAGGUUUUAUUUGGCAUUUGCUAAAGGCAUUGCAUGAUUGAAGUGACCCAUAUGUGUUGACUUUCAAUUUUACAUUGUUUUAACUGUUGGGAAAAUGCCUUUAAAUCAAUAAUUGCUAUACUUUAUCACAUUAUUUUCAUAUUUUCCAUAGAGUAUUUUAGAAGUUGGGUUAUUUAUUUUAUUUAGCCAUAUCUGCUUGAAGUUUAAAAGUGACUAGAGUUAAAUGUAAACUAUUUAGUUACUUAAAAGACUAGGAGACAUACAUGUAUUUUAACACUCAUCUAUAAAACAAAACAUUAUUUCUUAUUGAAUGCAAUGGUAAAAUUUGUGUCUUUACUUUUACUUAUAUUGUGACUUGGAUGAAGAGUUGUCUCAUUGGCGCUUAUACCACAUCUUCUGGUAUCUCCAUAUCCAUAGUUUGUCUACUGACAACAGUGUGUCCCUUUUGAAAUUGAUUUAUACUUUGAAAUAAAUCCAUUAUUAAUUUAUUUCUACAAGAUUUUGUGGAAAACUUGAAAUUGUUAGGCAGCAACCAUUUGAUUUUCUGGGGGGGGGCUAUGGUUUUUUUUGGGAAAAAAAGUUUGUUUCCAGUUUUUGGAGAAAAAAAUAAUUUGUUUUUGAUUCUGAGAAAAAAAAAUUGUUUGUUUCACCCCCAGCUGCCACUAUAUGUAAUGCUAAAAUUGAAAGAAAAAAAUAGUUUUCGACUUCUCGCGAAAAAAAUAGAUUGUUUUUCGCCGCAGGCGAAAAAAAAAGUUUGCACAGAAAAAAAAACCAUAGCCCCCCCCAGAAAAUCAAAUGGUUGCUGCCUUAGUUGUUUUAGUUUUUUGGUGUUUUGUUAUUGACUUUAUCUUGUUGUAAUAUCAAUUUUAAAAAUGCACUUUAGAUUUGGGUCAGAUUUUUCAUUCAUCAUUUCAGUUUGCUUGUUUUCUAGGAUAGAAGUAGAUUUUUACAUUUGUAAGUUUCAUAUAAACACUUGUUAAAAUAUAAAUAUUUCACCAAGUCAUUGGAGUGUUAGUUUGUUAAAAAGAAACAAGCAUAAUACCACACAAUUUGUACUGUGAAUUUAUAAUUGGGUAAUAAAGAUAGAA
RNAcentral lists this long non-coding RNA (1436 nucleotides) under Mytilus galloprovincialis (Mediterranean mussel). The record is from RNAcentral. Lineage: Eukaryota; Metazoa; Mollusca; Bivalvia; Mytilida; Mytilidae.